RNAcentral lists this ribosomal RNA (814 nucleotides) under Clostridioides difficile. RNAcentral's name for it is "bacterial LSU rRNA". It matches the Rfam family "Bacterial large subunit ribosomal RNA", at positions 771 to 1589 of the family's 2925-position model. Lineage: Bacteria; Bacillati; Bacillota; Clostridia; Peptostreptococcales; Peptostreptococcaceae. The record is from RNAcentral.
GGUCCGAACCCACGAGCGUUGAAAAGCUCGGGGAUGACUUGUGGGUAGCGGUGAAAUUCCAAUCGAGCCCGGAGAUAGCUGGUUCUCCCCGAAAUAGCUUUAGGGCUAGCCUCAAGGUGAGAGAUACGGAGGUAGAGCACUGAAUGUCCUAGGGGGUAUUGCACCUACCGAAGACUAUCAAACUCCGAAUGCCGUCAUCUUAUACUUGGGAGUCAGACUGUGGGUGAUAAGAUUCAUAGUCGAAAGGGCAACAGCCCAGAUCGUCAGCUAAGGUCCCUAAAUGUAAGUUAAGUGGUAAAGGAUGUGGGAUUGCACAGACAACCAGGAUGUUGGCUUAGAAGCAGCCACUCAUUCAAAGAGUGCGUAAUAGCUCACUGGUCGAGUGAUCCUGCGCCGACGAUUUCCGGGGCUAAAACUUACUACCGAAGCUACGGCAUCAGUAAUGAUGGGUAGGGGAGCUUCCCAUACGGGUUGAAGCAUGACCGUAAGGACAUGUGGACAGUAUGGGAGUGAGAAUGUUGGCAUGAGUAGCGAGAUGUGGGUGAGAAUCCCACAGGCCGUAAACCCAAGGUUUCCAGGGGAAGGUUCGUCCGCCCUGGGUUAGUCGGGACCUAAGCUGAGGCCGAAAGGCGUAGGUGAUGGACAACAGGUUGAUAUUCCUGUACUACCGAUAACCGGUUGAGAGAAGGGAUGACACAGUAGGAUAAGCUAAGCACACUGUUGGUUAUGUGUGCCCAAGCAUUGAGGCAGUCAAAGUAGGCAAAUCCGCUUUGAUAAUGCUGGGAUGUGAUGGGGAGCGAAAUUUAGUAGCGAA